RNAcentral lists this long non-coding RNA (12462 nucleotides) under Fragaria vesca (wild strawberry). Its description in RNAcentral is "long non-coding RNA (FVES_LNC001012)". Lineage: Eukaryota; Viridiplantae; Streptophyta; Magnoliopsida; Rosales; Rosaceae. The record is from RNAcentral.
UUAUUAUUCCCUAUGGGGAGUCCUAUCGUCGGAAUGUAAAUGUCUCAAAAUUUUUAUAUAGGCGGUCGCGUCUCAUCUACGUGAAAGUUUUUCGUGUGGAAGGUUUGACCAAACUAAGUAAUAUAGAGGGAGAUAUGAGCGUUUUCGUGAAUUUAUAGACUUUAGCCGACGAGAUAUUAAAAAAGUCGUCGGCUAAGGUCAAAAACUUUUGGGCGGUAAACCAAAUUUGGAGUAAAAUUUUCAAGGGACUUUAGCCGACAAAAUCAUAUAUGAUUUCGUUGGCUAAAGUAGAAAAAUUUUCAAAAUUUUCAACCAAAAUUUUCAAAAGAGUUUAGGCGACGAAAAUAAAGAAUUUCGUCGGGUAAAGUUCUUUAUAUAGGAGUUUUACCGGAGGUGGAUGGUAAGAAGUCAGAAAAUCCCCAAUUUUCUUCUCGGCCUAACUCCGCCGUCAAGCCACCGGAGACCGCCACACUUGUCCCAAAAGCUUCGCCGUCGUCUCUACUUCAUUGUUGGACAGGUGGUGCAUCGAGUGGCGCCGCCGUGAGGGAUAAAUCGAGCUCCAAAACUCCGCCGGUUCGGAUUCGGUGUUGAUCGAAUUUCUCCUUCCUCAGUUCACCAUUUGGUGAGUUCUAUAUAUGGAUAAGUUGACUUUUGAUUAGUACUACAUUCUCCUAGAAUUUGGUUGCUCGAUUCGGUGUGUGUGAAGAGAAUCGAAGAUUUGAAGUUUUUAGGAUUUAAAAUUGGGGAUUUUUAUAUUUCGAUUCAAUUGACCUGUUUAGGCUUAGAAUUGAGGUUCGACUUCUUCUAGAAAGUUGUUCGAAAUGUUGAGAGGAAGAUUCUGUCAAAUUUUGGUGGUGAUUGGAGAUGACCGAAAGUUUCUGCAGUUUUUUUUUUUUCAAAAACCAGCAACUUUAGCCGACGAUAUUUAAAUACUAUAUUCGUCGGCUAUAGUAUUUUUUAAUUUUUUUUAUAAGGUUUAGCCGAAGAAUUAUGGCGUGUUUCGUCGGCUAUAGUUAUUUUUUUAAAUUUUUUAUAAGGUUUAGCCGAAGAAACAGACUAUAUUUCGUCGGCUAUAGUUAUUUUUUAGUUUUUUAUAAGGUUUAGCCGAUGAAACAGACUAUAUUUCGUCAGCUAUAAUCUGGGAAAAAAAAUUUUAUUACAGACUUUAGCCGACGAAUAUCUUAAUUGUUUCGUCGGCUAAAGUCUGUAAUAAAAACCGACGACAUGUUUUUCAUCGGCUAAACUGUGGGACUAUAGCCGACAAAAUUUUUUUUGUCGUCGGCUAAAGUCAUCGCCGACGACCUUUUCCCGACGAAAUCUUAGCCGACGAAUUAAACUAACAGGCCAACGAAAAAGUUCGUCGGCUAAAGUGCUUGUCCUGGUAGUGAUACUAGUUUCUUUUAUUUUUUUUUAUUCGGUGACCUUUUGGUUGACUUUUUAUUCAUUGGGUUUCUCAUGAAACUUCCUUCACGGAAGUUGUAAACAUGGCGAUACGAGUUCGUAGACACACGGCACGCGUAAAACGGACUUCGUAUGAAGAAGUUAUGGUCAAAGGAAUUUAGUUUCCGGGAUUGGGAAGUGUAUAAGUAGAAAAAUGUGUGUGAGUCAGUUUGGAACCCUAAAGGCAGCUCACUCUCUUCCCUCUCUACUCUCUCCCGAGCUCCCCGAGCCCUCACCUUAUUCAACCGAGUACUCCCUCCUCCGGCCACCAAACCGGACGCCACUGGUCCCGUUCGACUCCUACAGCUGCCCUCUCCAUUUUUGGAGCAGUCCCGCCGCCUGGAAGCCGCCACGAAGUGGCAGAGCUGCUGUUGUCCCGUCGGAAAGCCGACGAUUUUGACGCCGAUUCCGGCCAAGUUUAGGUGAGUCUUGCUCCGCUCUCUCUUCUAGGGAUGUUCAUGCCUCUUUAGUGACCUAGAAAUCAAGUUUGGGUGCCGGAUUUGCAGGUUUUGGGGUUUCAUUUUGGCUGCUGUUUUCGGGGCAGUUUUCGGCCGGUUCUGGCCAAAAUUGGUUGAAGCCUCAGGUAUGAAAGUUGUUCCCCUUACUUCAAGCUUCAACUUUGCUGUUGAGAGUUUUCUCAAAUUCGAAAGUUGAUGGUGGAGCGUGGGGCCCACUCGCCACCGCCUCUGGCGGCGCGUGGCAGCGUGUCCGGCAGGAUUCCUAGCUCUAGGUUUCGGUGGUUAGCUAGCUCUUGCUGUUGUGAGCUUGUUGAUAUGUGGAAAUUCUAGGUUUGGUGUAAGGUUUGCAGGUUAGGACAUUAAGUUUAAGCUUAAGCUUGUGUGAGGUUUGAGUUUAAGUUUUGAGGAUUGGAGGCAACCUUAUUUAGUCGUUAAUUUCGACGACCUUGGAAGGUUGUCCUCUUUUGGGCUAAGGUUAGUUUGAGGGUGUUUUUUAUCCUUUAAUCCGAAGGUGCUAAGGCUAUCAAUUGUUUUAAUUAGGUAGCUUGUGGAAUUGAUUUAAGCUUGGCUCUUGAGUUUAUUGUGAAGACGCAGCGGGAAUAUUUAGGUGAGUAACAUCUCACCAAGGUUCACUUGGGACCAAUUAUUUAUGGAAUUGUGAUGAUGAUUAUUAUUAUUAUUAUAAUGAUAUUGUGAUGAUGAGUAUGAUAAUUAUUGUGUUGUUGUUAAUGAUUAUUAUGAUGAUGAUGGUGAUGAUGAUAAAAUGAUGAUGAAUUACGAUGAUAAUUUUUGAUGAUGAUUUUGAUGUUUUUAAUUUAAAAUUUUUAUUUUUGGUUGUUUUAAAAUAUAUGAGCUUGAUCGCCAACGGCUCAUAGGUAAGAUAAAACAAGUUUUCCUAUUAUAUGAUUAUUUUUAAGGUUCAUGAAAAUAUAAUAUUUUUGGUUCUUGAUAGGUUAUUCUUGUGGGAAUAACUAUGUCUUGUGCAUAUAAAUAUAUCUAUGUGGAAUGAUAUAAUUUGAUGAUGUGCUAUUGGGUUGUUGAUGUUGAUUUUAUUAUAUUGUGAUUUGUGGUUUAGAUAGUCAAACUGGGUUCCAAACCCUUAAUCGGGUGAUUGGUAACGGUUAUGAUGAUUCUACUCUAUUGUGAUUUGUUGUUUAAAUAAUCAAACCGGGUUCCAAGCCUUUAAUCGGGUGAUUGAUUACGGUUAUGAUGUAAUUAUUAUUUUUGAAUUGAUAUUGGACAGUCAUAGGUUCCAAGCCUUUGGCCGGGUGAUUGGUUACGGUUAGGAAUAGAGUUCUAGUCCGUCUGUCGGUGUAGGUCAUGGGAGGUACCUGAAGGUAUCUGGGACCCAUGGGUACAUAAAUUGUUGUUGUAGGUCAUGAGAGGUAUUUAUUAAUAUCUGAGACUCAUGGGUACAUGUUUUUGUUAUAGGUCAUAGGAGAUACCUUAUUGGUAUCUGGGACUCAUGGGUACAUGUAUUUUUUGUAAAGUGUUGGUUCUAUGAUUUUAACUUGUUCUUAAUUGUUGUCGAUUAAUCUUCCUUGUUUUGAGUAUCUCCUGAAUGCUUAAUGCAGGAGACUCUUUAAUCUUAUUUGUGUGAUUUUUAGUGAAAUUCAUGAACUAUCUUUUUGCAGGAUUCACUUAUGAUUGAUUGUUUUGUGAAUUGUUAUGCUUUCUUAUUUACUCUCUUUUGAAUUUUAUUGUGCGAGGCAAUUCCUGAACUAAGUUCUAAGCAGGAAUUUGCGGUUUUAUUUUGUGUGUUGUUGGGUUGAGUUAUUUUGGGAGUUACUCAUACGGGCUUUUUAGCUUACCGGGUUUGUUGUUUACAACCCGGUGCACCAAUUCAUGGUGUAGAGGUUAGACCUACAGGUGAUGAUCAGCAGGGUUGAAGCGGUGGCUUAAGAGCUGGGUUUUAGACAAUAUACAAUUAUUUGUAUAUUUUGUUAAUUUGUCUUUAAGCUCUUGUGAGCGACGUUAUUAUUACUAGACUUUUAAAGUUUAUAUAAUUAAGGAGAUAUAAUGUUUAACUCAGUUGUUGAGUCUGUUGACAUUUACAUUUCCAGUAUUUGUUUUUAGUUUGAUACUUGUUGAGCAGGUUUUUGGAUAUUAAGAUUUUAAGAUAUAUCAUGCCCAAAUUUUUGAAAAUUUAUCCUUCGAAAAUUGGGGUGUGACACCUCAUUUGCCCAAAUCCGAGCUCAGAUGGCCAAGAUAUGGCUGAAAAACUAAAGGAGGUUGGGAGGAGAAGAGAGAUGUGCGAUUUUCAGAUUUGAAACUUUUUUCUUUUUUCAGAUUUCCUUUUUUCUAUCUAUAGACAACUUCCAAAAAGGUAGUAACUUCCGCUGUCCAUAACUUUUUCGUACGACAUCCGUUUUACGCAUGCCGCAUGUCUACGGACUCGUAUCGUCGUGCUCUACAACUUUCGUGAAAGAAGUUUCUCGAGAAACCCAAUGAACAAAAAGUCAACUCUAUGACCCUCAAAGAAUAAAGAACUGUUUCAGGGUAAUUUAUGCGUCUGAACACUUCCGCCCUUUCUUCGAACCUCAAAAACACAUUAAAUUCUAACUCGAAAAUUCUCAAAUAAUAUUAUAAACUAAUAUCGAAUUUCCGGGGUAUUACAAUCAAUAAAUCCAACUAACACAUUAUUCGGUGUUUCAAGAUAGGGGACUAGUUGUAACCUGGUUGGUUAAGGAGUUAACUAACAACUUUGAGGUCAUGAGUUCAAACUUCAUUGACAUAUAUAUGUAACGUGUGUGAGUUAUUUAAUAUAAUUUUCUUUUUGAGGUCAUGGGUUCAAACUUCAUUGGUGUGUGAGUUAUUUAAUAUAAUUUUCUUUUUCUUUUAACUUUUUAAAAAAAAAAAAAAAAAAGAUAGGGGACUAGUCUGCAGUGCACAUAACCUGCGGCUAUGGUAGUGUUAGACGUAGUCUCUCGAUGGGAGGCCGAGAGCUGUGUUCCACCUAUUCCAGGCGGGAUCUUUUUGUCUCUUGCUUCACUAUAGGGAAAGAAUAGGCCUAAGUCAACGGAACCCUUUAGAUACCUGAUGAAGAUGUGUUUAACACCAUUCCAAUGACGAUGUGUUGACCGCAGAGCCAAAUCUAGCCGACAAGUUCACAGAGAAUGCAAUGUCUGGUCGAGUGCACUGAGCCAAAUAUAACAGAGCUCCAAUCACACUAAGAUAUGGAGUUUCAGCUUCUAGGACCUCUUCAUCGCCAUCUUUCGGACGAAACAUAUCCUUUUUAAUAUCCAAAUUUCACGUAAUCAUUGGAGUGCCAAAAGGAUGUGCUUUGUCCAUAUUAAGUUGCCUAAGCAUCUUUUGGACAUAAGCCGACUAGUGAAUUAGGAUUCUAGUUACUCGAUGCUCUAGUCCUAAGCCUAGGAAAAAUCUAAUUUUCCCAAGAUCUUUUAUCUCAAACUCGGAUUUCAAGUAGCUAAAUGUCUCAUUGAUGUCAUUGAGAGUUCCGAUGAUAUUCAUAUCAUCAACAUAGACUACUACAAUUGCAAAUCUGGAACUUGUUCUUUUUAUGAACACGUAUGGGCACAAUUCAUCGUUCUUGUAUCCCUUCCUAAUCAAGUAAUCACUUAGACGAGUAUUGUUUCAAUCCGUAUAGUGAACGCCUCAAUCUGAUGGGAUAAGCACUCCAUGGUAUAGAGUCACUUUGUCAAGACCCACCCCGAAUUUCACCUUGAAACCCGAAGUAAGUCUUACGGGGACCACCUCUAAGGAAAAUUUUACCGAAAAAUUCGGCAUAACCUCCCUUGAAAAUAGACAACCCUAACCUGAAAAAUUCAAACCACACUCCUAUAACGACACAUCCAAUCUCAACCCCUGGAGCCACCCGCUCCCCACAAUACAACCCCCACAACAAUAUAACAAAAACCAUCUUCUAAUCCAUCACAUAAAUAUCCAAUUAGAAAAUAACAAACUUCAACAUUCAAAUAUUCCAAAUUAAAAUCCAAGACUUAAGCACACAACCGAGCUAAUAUACAUUAUCCUCAAGAGUAAUCAGAGCUACUAAUACUAGCGGAAGCAAGAAAAUACACUGGUAGGUUAAGCAGGUAAUCUAUUGGUGAGAAAUGGUGGAAAAGUGGGUAACUACGCCUCGCCUCCUACUAGUGCCUACCCGAACUCUGCAGAUUGGGCAUUUUAAAAUGAAGGGCCCAGGGGAAAACAUUUAAUAACGUUAGAGUGAGUGGACAAAAAUAGAUUUGAAUAAAAGAAUAAAUAAAAUAUUUAUGCUUUCCCGAUUCAAUUUCCAAGGAAAAAUCGAAUGCAUGCCUCAAGUGAUAAAACUUUCAUCUCUUAAAUAUCGAGCUUCUCAAGUUCUAAAAUAUAUAUGUAUGUAUUUACACACGUCCAUACUCCCUAUAUAAUUUUAUGGAAUUAUAUAGGGCUACUACGCUCGCGUCCAACGCUCAUGUCACGCCUUAAUGCGGUGAUACACUACGCCAUUAAGGUAGACAGACGGGUGUAUAAAUAUGUGUCCAUACCCCCUAUAAGAAUUAAACACUCGUAUAAGGCUAUUACGCUCACGUCCAACGCUUACGUCACACCAUAAUGCGGCUAUAUGUUAUGCCAUUGAGGUGGACAGACACAUAUGCCUAGCUAGCAUUUAUAAAAAUACUCUCCUCAUAAAUACAUAUUUAUAUUCACCGAAAAUCCCAUUUUCGGUAACUCUCCAAGAGAAAUAAAAUCGUCAAAAUUAAAAUUACGUCAAAUGCUCCAACAAAAUUAACUGUUCAUCCAUGAACCAUAGCAUGCAUAUUAUUUAAAAAAAAAGUCUACUCACAAAUUAGGCCUAAACCUGAUGUCGAUCCGAGGCCUCUUCCACUCGAGCCUCCUCACGUCCUGUUCCAAAUAUAAUAAUAAAUUCCCAACUCAAAUUUCAAUAAUUAUACAAAAAUAGGCAAAAUUAAAUGUGAGCCUUGACCACGCUCAUCAUUGCCUAACUUCGAUAUUCCUAAAUCGAUUCGGUCCACACUUCAACACCAAAACCAGCAGCCUUAACUACACCUUUCUACAGAUUAAACAACAUUAAUCAAAUGGCCGGAUUCUACCCUAAUAAUCCGCCAAAAUUACCAAACUUUAAAAAUUCCCAAACCUAUCCAAAACUUCUCCAAAAAUUCCAAAAUUCACAUCAAUAACUCCCCUUAAUAUAACCAAUUUAAAACCAUGAAAGCCUCCUAAACAGCGACGGCGCCGCCACGUGCUCCGCCGGCAGCGGCGGCCGGAGGUCGACUCCAGCGACCUCCAAUGCCCACCAAAUUUCGACAGCAUCUUCCUCUCAACUCCCUCUACAACUUUCCUAACUAGCACAAACACCAAUUCCAAGCCUAAUUAUGCCAAUCGAACGAAAACAUAACAAAAAACCCUAGAACUUCCACUCUCACUGGUUCUCCUCACCUGAAGCAAACUGGACCAAGUUCUUCUAGGCAAGGCAACUGGGUUGGAGACCUUCAAAACCAUAUAAGGCUUGCCCGGAUUGGUGGCCGGAGGAGGAAGUUCCGGUGAUGGAGAGCUUUGGACAGCCGGAGGUUCCAGGCGGAGAAUCUCCCUCAUGGCGGCGCUUGAUAGGUGCAUUUUAUGCAACGUUCUUAAUGUAUUUCCGACCCUAUUUAGUUAUGUAAUUCCUUUAACAAUAUUGAUUUUAACUUAGUUUGUGUUUUUAGGUCACAAAUAAAGCCGAGGAGCACAAAAGAGGCAAAAGAGGAGAAAUCUUGAAGGAAAAUGAAUCCAUAUGGCGCAAGGAAAGAAAUCAGAAAAUCUGCCAGGAAUAGUCAGUCAACUUCGACAGAGAAUUGUCAUCAACUCACAACGAUCCAGGAGAUGAACUUUAUAUCAGCAGAAAGCUAGAAGAGUCUAGUUUUCAGAACUUUUCGCAGAUCGUCAAUAGCUAUUUUGGUGACCAAGUUAUGACCGUUUGAGUGACCAAAGGUCAGUCUGCCCGAAUUUCUGAUUUGGACCGGAACUUCAAUUUCAAGGCCCAAACCACAACGGCGAGCCCAUGGACGAAAAUUAAAGGUUCUCUAACCCUAAUAGCAGCUGUUCAUAUGUUCUCUAUAUGUAUGAGGAGUUGGGGACGUGAAAGGGUCGCUCUUGGCCGCAGAAAAACAACGCCUUUCAUCUCCUUCAGAAAUUCUUCUCCAAACACAAACCCUAGUUUUAGGAUUUCUCUUGCCGUGCCUUCUCCUCUGUAAUUCUCGGCGUAGUUCCUUGUUUCAAUACUCAAAGUGUAAUCUAAACUCAGACCUCAUGUUUUCUUUUAUUAUCUAUUCAAUUACUUUAGUUUGUUUCCAUCUCUCUUAUUCGUUUGUGNNNNNNNNNNNNNNNNNNNNCGGUGAAUUACAUUCUAACAUGUUCAAGUUCUUCCUUUGAUCUAUUUUGGAUAUGAAGUCCGCGUCGGUACAUAUCUAUGAGAGGUUAGAAGGGUUUAAGUAGUUAAGUCCGCGUCGGUAAAUUACUUGAAACAUGGAAUUUGAUUCGUUUCUCCAUAUGCAUGAUUUAGGUUGUUAGGGUUGAAAUUACAUAGCUACUUGAUUAUAUGAAUCUGAUUUAGUGUUUUCUUGUGUGCAAAGAGACGAUCACAUGUAUAUAGUAGCUUAGGUUUUUGUUUCUUUUUAGUUUAGGAUUUUCGUCACUCUUCUAUUCUCUGUUUUCUUUUAUUUUAUUUUCGUAUCAAACGAUCUCCGAAUCCCCUGAAAAUUUGUACAGUAGUUCCUCUGUGUGUCUAGUAGAUCUCUGUAAAUUUUCAUAUUUUUCUGAGUAGUUUAGGUUAGGUUUUUAAUUAGGUUUUCGACUGCUGUUCUAUGGAACAGUAGCUACUUUUGUAAAUUGUUUAAAUGUUUUAUUACUUGUUAAUAUUUGUUGUGUUUUUCUAACGCUUUGUUUUGCAAGGUACCCUCAAUCCCCGGCCCUAUACGAUACCCUACUUACUCAAUGCUACUAACGAUAAAAAGGGUUUAUUUGAUGCAGGUUUUGCACCCGUCAAGGCUAAGGAAGCUCUCACCGAUUUAGAAAGAAAGCUGGGUCGAGGGCCGACCGAUCGGGACCAGAGCGGCUGUCUGAGGCAGGCGGACGGCCAGAAAUUCUGGCAAGGAGAGGGGCUCGGGGAGCGGGAGAGAAGAGAGAGAGAGAGAGAGAGAGAGUGAGUGUGUGGGUGUUGGGCUUCUCCCACACCCGGUCCAACUUAAAACCCACUCUACAACAAACUCAACUCCAAAAAUAAAACACCCCGAAAAAUAAUACCAUAAUAAAAAUUACCUUUUACUAGCUAAAAUUUACUAUUUUUACCGUCGUCACAUUUUUCUCCUACGAAUAAUCCUCCGAAAUAAACGUCCCUCAAAACUCCUCUAGGAACCAUUUAAACUAAAAACUCACGACGAAGACGGUAAAAUUCUUAUUAAAACCAAGCUAGUAAAUAAGGUAAAAAUUUAAGGGUCGGGAUCUGACACACUUGAUUUGGGCAACGAAUGGUCGUCCAACAGUUUCAUAUAUAUCUCUGUAUCAAGAUCCCUAUAGAGAUGCGGUAUAAGCUGCAUAUUAAGUUUUUCGAACACUACUAAACUGGCUAAGGAGCGGAAAGUAAUGACGUACAUAAUAGGAGAAUACUUCUCCUCAUAAUCAAUUCCAGGGCGUUGCAAGAAUCCUUGCGCCACAAGUCUAGCCUUAUAUCGAAUGAUUUUAUUCUUCUCAUUACACUUUCGAACCAAUACCCAUUUAUGUCCAAAAAGCUUAACACUUGGUGGGCAUAGCACAACCGAACCAAAAACUUGUCUUUUUGUUAAGGAGUCUAGUUCUACCUGGAUUGCAUCUUUCCAUUUUCCGUGACAAGUUAUUGUGUUAGGAUGCACUACCAGAAGAAAAGCUUUAGCCGACGAAAAUAAAAAACCAGGCCGAUGAAUUAUUUUUUCGUCGGCUAACGUGGACUUUAGCCGACGAAAUUUUACUUCGUCGGCUAAUUUAAAUUUUCGUCGGCUUUGGUCAACUUUAGACGACGAAAUUAAAAGUUCGUCGUCUGAAUAAUUUUUUUCGUCGACUAUAGUCUGUGAACUUUAGCUGACGAAAUUUUUAAAAGUUUAGCAGACGAAAAAUAUAAUUUCGUCGGCUAAAGUGCCUUAUAUUUGCUGAUCUAGACAACAACUCAUCUAGGAAAAAAAAACUAUACGUAGAACCUUCAAACACAAAAAAGUCGUGAAAUAAGAUAUGACCCGAAUUGUGAAAUAUGUCUACGGUUGAAAAAUCACGGUAUUCCGGUAAAGUCUCAGUGCCGAUAGUUGCAGUCAAUGCAAUUUACCCUUAUUAUUCAAUGCUGCAGAUUUGGCAUUUGGUGUCCGAUUGACUAUUGCGAUACCUUUCCGGAAGCGUAACGGCCCUACGAGUCAAACUUAUUGCCUUGCCAUGACAUCUGGGCCUUUUUGGCCAUCCGAGUCCGUUUAGGGCUUCAAAAUGCAGUUUUCUUAUUUUCGAUUAGAGUUGACCGUUUCGAUCGAGCCCUUAACGUUAUCGAAGCCAGUUGAAUUUUUUACCAUAGACAUCUUUCGUCAUAAUGAACAUAUCUGACGGUCGAAUUUUGGUUUGUAAAUUUUAGUCAUCGGAAUCACGUGUCUACUAUUUACCGUUAUUAUUCCCUGUGGGGGGCUCUAUCGUCGGAAGGUAAAUGUCUAAAAAAAUUUAUAUGAGCAGUUGCGUCUCAUCUACGUGAGAGUUUUUUGUGUGGAAGGUUUGACCAAACUACAUAAUAUAAAGGGAGAUAUGAGCGUUUUCGUAUGAUAAGUGACGAUGGAUUAUGGUUGACCGUUUCGAUCGAGCCCUUAACGUUGUCGGAUCCAGUUGAAUUUUUUACCAUAGACAUCUUUCGUCAUAAUGAUCAUAUCUAACGGUCGAAUUUUGGUUUGUGAAUUUUAGUCAUCGGAAUCACAACGUGUUUACUAAUGUUGUAUAACUUGUUUAGUAGGUUAUACAACUUUGUGAACCAACUCUACAUAGGAAGCAAAAUUAUCAAAAAUAUCGUGAAAUAAAAUGUGUUCAUAAUGGUGAAAUACGGCUAUGGUUCAAAAAUCACAUAAAUCGGGUAACGUCUCGGUGUCGAUAGUAGCGGUCAACCCUAUUUACUGUUAUUAUUUCCUAUGGGGAGCCCUAUCGUCGGAAGGUAAAUGUCUCAAAAUUUUUAUAUAGGUGGUUGCGUCUCAUCUACGUGAAAGUUUUUCGUGUGGAAGGUUUGACCAAACUACGUAAUAUAGAGGGAGAUAUGAGCGUUUUCAUGAAUUUAUAGACUUUAACCGACGAGAUAUUAAAAAAGUCGUCGACUAAGGUCAAAAAAAUGUUGGCGGUGAACCAAAUUUGGAGGAAAAUUUUCAAAGGACUUUAGCCGACGAAAAUAUAUGAAAAGUCGUCGGCUAAAGUCGAAAAAUUUUCAAAAUUUUCAACCAAAAUUUUUUGGCGGUCAACCAAUAUCUUCAAAAGAGUUUAGCCGACGAAAAUAAAGAAUUUUUUCGGGUAAAGUUCUUUAUAUAGGAGUUUUACCGGAGGUGGAUGGUAAGAAGUCAGAAAAUCAGAAAAAGUUCUAGAUUUUCUUCUCGGCUUAGCUCCGCCGUCAAGCAACCGGAGACCGCCACACUUGUCCCAAAAGCUUCGCCGUCGUCUCUACUUCAUUGCUGGACAGGUGGUGCAUCGAGUGGCGCCGCCGUGAGGGAUAAAUCGAGCUCCAAAACUCUGCCGGUUCGGAUUCGAUGUCGAUCGAAUUUCUCAUUCCUCAGGUCACCAUUUGGUGAGUUCUAUAUAUGGAUAAGUUGAGUUUGAUUAAUACUACAUUCCCCUAGAAUUUGGUAGCUUGAUUCGGUGUGUGUGAGGAGAAUCGAAGAUUUGAAGUUUUUAGGGUUUAAAAUUGGGGAUUUUUAUAUUUUGAUUCAACUAACCUGUUUAGGUUUAGAAUUGGGUAAACUGUGAGAGUUAACCUGUUCCGGAAUCGACGACAUGUUUUCCAUCGGCUAAACUGUGAGACUAUAGCCGACGACGUCUUUUUUUUUCGUCGGCUAAAGUCAUCGCCGACUACCUUUUCCCGACGAAAUCUUAGCCGACGAAUUAAGCUAACAGGCCGACGAAACUUUUUCGUCGGUUAAAGUGUUUGUCCUGGUAGUGUUACGUACAAUACACUUAUUUUACAAUUAUUUUUUCUGAGAUGGCGAAGCACUUGGAAUGAAACAAGGUUGCGGUGUUUUAUUUGUUGAGACAAUUAAGUUAUGAUACUGAGAAGUUUACGAUACACUCAUUUAACAAAUACUUGAACCGAAAUUACAAACAAAGUUAAAAUAUUUCCCAUUCAUCGCUGCUAGCAUUAUGUUGAAAAGAACAUAGUUGCUCCUCUAUGAUCUGAGUCCUCACCAUCUACAUAAAAUUAAAGCAAAAUUACAACACUGACAACAAUUUUUUCUAAAAUUUGCAACUGGAUUGUACAUACGUUAUAGGUAAUUAAUUGCUGUAAAUAGAACAGAGAUUACACGAAGUAGGACUCACCAUUACCACCCUGCACUACUAGCAAAACAACAACUCAUACAAAUUUUGUUCACUA